Molecule: microRNA precursor, 127 nt
Filed under: Myotis brandtii (Brandt's bat)
Lineage: Eukaryota; Metazoa; Chordata; Mammalia; Chiroptera; Vespertilionidae
Description: mir-9193 microRNA precursor family
Rfam family: mir-9193 microRNA precursor family
Source: Rfam by way of RNAcentral
UGUGCACUGGUGGGGUCCCUCAGCCUGGCCUGCGCCCUCUUGCAAUUUGGGACCCCUCAGGGGAUGUCGGAGAGACAGUGACAGCCUGAUCCCCACAGGCCAGGCUGAGGGACCCCACCGGUGCAUG